ACAAUGAUUUGUAAAGGUGUAAGCCAUAGACAGUAUCCAAUACUCAAGAAUCUGAAAUUGAAGUACUUAAUGAUAAGUUUAUUUAUAUUAUAUACAAAUCUUUAGCAAUGUUUGCUUCCUUGUACUUCAAAGUUGUAAGAUAUUUCUUGCAAUUUCUCUUCUAGUGCUAGUCCCUGCCACAAUGAUAGCAAGUAUCUUU
This 199-nucleotide long non-coding RNA is filed under the name Elaeis guineensis (African oil palm). Its description in RNAcentral is "long non-coding RNA (EGUI_LNC057810)". Lineage: Eukaryota; Viridiplantae; Streptophyta; Magnoliopsida; Arecales; Arecaceae. The record is from RNAcentral.